This 601-nucleotide ribosomal RNA is filed under the name Burkholderiaceae bacterium N2s_26. RNAcentral's name for it is "bacterial SSU rRNA". It matches the Rfam family "Bacterial small subunit ribosomal RNA", at positions 395 to 988 of the family's 1533-position model. The record is from RNAcentral. Lineage: Bacteria; Pseudomonadati; Pseudomonadota; Betaproteobacteria; Burkholderiales; Burkholderiaceae.
UGCCGCGUGUGUGAAGAAGGCCUUCGGGUUGUAAAGCACUUUUGUCCGGAAAGAAAAGUUCCUCCCUAAUAUGGAUGGAGGAUGACGGUACCGGAAGAAUAAGCACCGGCUAACUACGUGCCAGCAGCCGCGGUAAUACGUAGGGUGCGAGCGUUAAUCGGAAUUACUGGGCGUAAAGCGUGCGCAGGCGGUCUGUUAAGACCGAUGUGAAAUCCCCGGGCUUAACCUGGGAACUGCAUUGGUGACUGGCAGGCUUUGAGUGUGGCAAAGGGGGGUAAAAUUCCACGUGUAGCAUUGAAAUGCGUAAAGAUGUGGAGGAAUACCGAUGGCAAAGGCAGCCCCCUGGGCCAACACUGACGCUCAUGCACAAAAGCGUGGGGAGCAAACAGGAUUAAAUACCCUGGUAGUCCACGCCCUAAACAAUGUCAACUAGUUGUUGGGGAUUCAUUUCCUUAGUAACGUACCUAACGCGUGAAGUUGACCGCCUGGGGAGUACGGUCGCAAGAUUAAAACUCAAAGGAAUUGACGGGAACCCGCACAAGCGGUGGAUGAUGUGGAUUAAUUCAAUGCAACGCGAAAAACCUUACCUACCCUUGACAUG